RNAcentral lists this ribosomal RNA (501 nucleotides) under uncultured bacterium. Its description in RNAcentral is "partial 16S ribosomal RNA". It matches the Rfam family "Bacterial small subunit ribosomal RNA", at positions 30 to 523 of the family's 1533-position model. The record is from RNAcentral.
AUUGAACGCUGGCGGCAGGCUUAACACAUGCAAGUCGAGCGGGGGAAGGUAGCUUGCUACUGGACCUAGCGGCGGACGGGUGAGUAAUGCUUAGGAAUCUGCCUAUUAGUGGGGGACAACAUCUCGAAAGGGAUGCUAAUACCGCAUACGUCCUACGGGAGAAAGCAGGGGAUCUUCGGACCUUGCGCUCAUAGAUGAGCCUAAGUCGGAUUCGCUAGUUGGUGGGGUAAAGGACUACCAAGGCGACGAUCUGUAGCGGGUCUGAGAGGAUGAUCCGCCACACUGGGACUGAGACACGGCCCAGACUCCUAAGGGAGGCAGCAGUGGGGAAUAUUGGACAAUGGGGGGAACCCUGAUCCAGCCAUGCCGCGUGUGUGAAGAAGGCCUUAUGGUUGUAAAGCACUUUAAGCGAGGAGGAGGCUACUCUAGUUAAUACCUAGGGAUAGUGGACGUUACUCGCAGAAUAAGCACCGGCUAACUCUGUGCCAGCCGCCGCAGUAA